AGGGACUUAGGUACACUUAAGAUCAAGAGCCUUCAAAGCCCUAAGAGGAGGUUGAAAUCCUCCAGCCCCUG
This 71-nucleotide transfer RNA is filed under the name Pelotretis flavilatus (southern lemon sole). Its description in RNAcentral is "tRNA-Trp". It matches the Rfam family "tRNA". Rfam says of the family: Transfer RNA (tRNA) molecules are approximately 80 nucleotides in length. Their secondary structure includes four short double-helical elements and three loops (D, anti-codon, and T loops). The record is from RNAcentral. Lineage: Eukaryota; Metazoa; Chordata; Actinopteri; Pleuronectiformes; Rhombosoleidae.